UGAGGAAUAUUGGUCAAUGGUCGGGAGACUGAACCAGCCAAGCCGCGUGAGGGAGGAAGGUACAGAGUAUCGUAAACCUCUUUUGUCAGGGAACAAAAGGCGGGGACGUGUCCCCGGAUGAGUGUACCUGAAGAAAAAGCAUCGGCUAACUCCGUGCC
This 158-nucleotide ribosomal RNA is filed under the name uncultured bacterium. RNAcentral's name for it is "partial 16S ribosomal RNA". It matches the Rfam family "Bacterial small subunit ribosomal RNA", at positions 355 to 509 of the family's 1533-position model. The record is from RNAcentral.